RNAcentral lists this ribosomal RNA (467 nucleotides) under uncultured bacterium. RNAcentral's name for it is "partial 16S ribosomal RNA". It matches the Rfam family "Bacterial small subunit ribosomal RNA", at positions 28 to 507 of the family's 1533-position model. The record is from RNAcentral.
GAUGAACGCUGGCGGCGCGCCUAACACAUGCCAGUCGAACGAUUAAAGCACCUUCGGGUGUGUAUAAAGUGGCGAACGGCUGAGUAACACGUGGGCAACCUGCCCCUCUCAUUGGGAUAGCCACGGGAAACCGUGGAUAAUACCGAAUACUUCGGGACUUCCGCAUGGAAGACUCGAGAAAGCUCCGGCGGAGAGGGAUGGGCCCGCGGCCUGUUAGCUUGUUGGUGGGGUAAUGGCCUACCAAGGCAAUGAUGGGUAGCUGGGUUGAGAGACCGACCAGCCAGAUUGGGACUGAGACACGGCACAGACUCCUACGGGAGGCAGCAGUGGGGAAUCUUGCACAAUGGGCGAAAGCCUGAUGCAGCGACGCCGCGUGCGGGAUGAAGGCCUUCGGGUUGUAAACCGCUUUCAGCAGGGACGAGGCGAAAGUGACGGUACCUGCAGAAGAAGCCCCGGCUAACUACGUG